RNAcentral lists this ribosomal RNA (459 nucleotides) under uncultured bacterium. RNAcentral describes it as "partial 16S ribosomal RNA". It matches the Rfam family "Bacterial small subunit ribosomal RNA", at positions 338 to 795 of the family's 1533-position model. The record is from RNAcentral.
CCUACGGGAGGCUUCAGUGAGGAAUAUUGGUCAAUGGACGCAAGUCUGAACCAGCCAUGCCGCGUGCAUGAUGACGGCUCUAUGAGUUGUAAACUGCUUUUGUACGAGGGUAAACCCCGAUCCGUGUAUCGGGUUGAAAGUAUCGUACGAAUAAGGAUCGGCUAACUCCGUGCCAGCAGCCGCGGUAAUACGGAGGAUCCGAGCGUUAUCCGGAUUUAUUGGGUUUAAAGGGUGCGCAGGCGGUCUGUUACGUCAGCGGUCAACGCCCGGGGCUCAACCCCGGCCCGCCGUUGAAACUGGCAGUCUCGAGUUGGAGAGAAGUAUGCGGAAUGCGCGGUGUAGCGGUGAAAUGCAUAGAUAUCGCGCAGAACUCCGAUUGCGAAGGCAGCAUGCCGGCUCCACACUGACGCUGAGGCACGAAAGCGUGGGUAUCGAACAGGAUUAGAUACCCCUGUAGUC